UUAAGCGACUAAGCGUACACGGUGGAUGCCCUGGCAGUCAGAGGCGAUGAAGGACGUGCUAAUCUGCGAUAAGCGUCGGUAAGGUGAUAUGAACCGUUAUAACCGGCGAUUUCCGAAUGGGGAAACCCAGUGUGAUUCGUCACACUAUCAUUAACUGAAUCCAUAGGUUAAUGAGGCGAACCGGGGGAACUGAAACAUCUAAGUACCCCGAGGAAAAGAAAUCAACCGAGAUUCCCCCAGUAGCGGCGAGCGAACGGGGAGGAGCCCAGAGCCUGAAUCAGUGUGUGUGUUAGUGGAAGCGUCUGGAAAGGCGCGCGAUACAGGGUGACAGCCCCGUACACAAAAAUGCACAUGCUGUGAGCUCGAUGAGUAGGGCGGGACACGUGGUAUCCUGUCUGAAUAUGGGGGGACCAUCCUCCAAGGCUAAAUACUCCUGACUGACCGAUAGUGAACCAGUACCGUGAGGGAAAGGCGAAAAGAACCCCGGCGAGGGGAGUGAAAAAGAACCUGAAACCGUGUACGUACAAGCAGUGGGAGCCUCUUUAUGGGGUGACUGCGUACCUUUUGUAUAAUGGGUCAGCGACUUAUAUUCUGUAGCAAGGUUAACCGAAUAGGGGAGCCGAAGGGAAACCGAGUCUUAACUGGGCGUUAAGUUGCAGGGUAUAGACCCGAAACCCGGUGAUCUAGCCAUGGGCAGGUUGAAGGUUGGGUAACACUAACUGGAGGACCGAACCGACUAAUGUUGAAAAAUUAGCGGAUGACUUGUGGCUGGGGGUGAAAGGCCAAUCAAACCGGGAGAUAGCUGGUUCUCCCCGAAAGCUAUUUAGGUAGCGCCUCGUGAAUUCAUCUCCGGGGGUAGAGCACUGUUUCGGCAAGGGGGUCAUCCCGACUUACCAACCCGAUGCAAACUGCGAAUACCGGAGAAUGUUAUCACGGGAGACACACGGCGGGUGCUAACGUCCGUCGUGAAGAGGGAAACAACCCAGACCGCCAGCUAAGGUCCCAAAGUCAUGGUUAAGUGGGAAACGAUGUGGGAAGGCCCAGACAGCCAGGAUGUUGGCUUAGAAGCAGCCAUCAUUUAAAGAAAGCGUAAUAGCUCACUGGUCGAGUCGGCCUGCGCGGAAGAUGUAACGGGGCUAAACCAUGCACCGAAGCUGCGGCAGCGACGCUUAUGCGUUGUUGGGUAGGGGAGCGUUCUGUAAGCCUGUGAAGGUGUGCUGUGAGGCAUGCUGGAGGUAUCAGAAGUGCGAAUGCUGACAUAAGUAACGAUAAAGCGGGUGAAAAGCCCGCUCGCCGGAAGACCAAGGGUUCCUGUCCAACGUUAAUCGGGGCAGGGUGAGUCGACCCCUAAGGCGAGGCCGAAAGGCGUAGUCGAUGGGAAACAGGUUAAUAUUCCUGUACUUGGUGUUACUGCGAAGGGGGGACGGAGAAGGCUAUGUUGGCCGGGCGACGGUUGUCCCGGUUUAAGCGUGUAGGCUGGUUUUCCAGGCAAAUCCGGAAAAUCAAGGCUGAGGCGUGAUGACGAGGCACUACGGUGCUGAAGCAACAAAUGCCCUGCUUCCAGGAAAAGCCUCUAAGCAUCAGGUAACAUCAAAUCGUACCCCAAACCGACACAGGUGGUCAGGUAGAGAAUACCAAGGCGCUUGAGAGAACUCGGGUGAAGGAACUAGGCAAAAUGGUGCCGUAACUUCGGGAGAAGGCACGCUGAUAUGUAGGUGAAGUCCCUCGCGGAUGGAGCUGAAAUCAGUCGAAGAUACCAGCUGGCUGCAACUGUUUAUUAAAAACACAGCACUGUGCAAACACGAAAGUGGACGUAUACGGUGUGACGCCUGCCCGGUGCCGGAAGGUUAAUUGAUGGGGUCAGCGCAAGCGAAGCUCUUGAUCGAAGCCCCGGUAAACGGCGGCCGUAACUAUAACGGUCCUAAGGUAGCGAAAUUCCUUGUCGGGUAAGUUCCGACCUGCACGAAUGGCGUAAUGAUGGCCAGGCUGUCUCCACCCGAGACUCAGUGAAAUUGAACUCGCUGUGAAGAUGCAGUGUACCCGCGGCAAGACGGAAAGACCCCGUGAACCUUUACUAUAGCUUGACACUGAACAUUGAGCCUUGAUGUGUAGGAUAGGUGGGAGGCUUUGAAGUGUGGACGCCAGUCUGCAUGGAGCCGACCUUGAAAUACCACCCUUUAAUGUUUGAUGUUCUAACGUUGACCCGUAAUCCGGGUUGCGGACAGUGUCUGGUGGGUAGUUUGACUGGGGCGGUCUCCUCCUAAAGAGUAACGGAGGAGCACGAAGGUUGGCUAAUCCUGGUCGGACAUCAGGAGGUUAGUGCAAUGGCAUAAGCCAGCUUGACUGCGAGCGUGACGGCGCGAGCAGGUGCGAAAGCAGGUCAUAGUGAUCCGGUGGUUCUGAAUGGAAGGGCCAUCGCUCAACGGAUAAAAGGUACUCCGGGGAUAACAGGCUGAUACCGCCCAAGAGUUCAUAUCGACGGCGGUGUUUGGCACCUCGAUGUCGGCUCAUCACAUCCUGGGGCUGAAGUAGGUCCCAAGGGUAUGGCUGUUCGCCAUUUAAAGUGGUACGCGAGCUGGGUUUAGAACGUCGUGAGACAGUUCGGUCCCUAUCUGCCGUGGGCGCUGGAGAACUGAGGGGGGCUGCUCCUAGUACGAGAGGACCGGAGUGGACGCAUCACUGGUGUUCGGGUUGUCAUGCCAAUGGCACUGCCCGGUAGCUAAAUGCGGAAGAGAUAAGUGCUGAAAGCAUCUAAGCACGAAACUUGCCCCGAGAUGAGUUCUCCCUGACCCUUUAAGGGUCCUGAAGGAACGUUGAAGACGACGACGUUGAUAGGCCGGGUGUGUAAGCGCAGCGAUGCGUUGAGCUAACCGGUACUAAUGAACCGUGAGGCUUAACCUU
RNAcentral lists this ribosomal RNA (2901 nucleotides) under Escherichia coli. Its description in RNAcentral is "bacterial LSU rRNA". It matches the Rfam family "Bacterial large subunit ribosomal RNA". Lineage: Bacteria; Pseudomonadati; Pseudomonadota; Gammaproteobacteria; Enterobacterales; Enterobacteriaceae. The record is from RNAcentral.